RNAcentral lists this transfer RNA (69 nucleotides) under Ovis aries (sheep). It matches the Rfam family "tRNA". Rfam says of the family: Transfer RNA (tRNA) molecules are approximately 80 nucleotides in length. Their secondary structure includes four short double-helical elements and three loops (D, anti-codon, and T loops). The record is from Rfam by way of RNAcentral. Lineage: Eukaryota; Metazoa; Chordata; Mammalia; Artiodactyla; Bovidae.
CCUGAUGGCUCAGAUGGUAAAGUAUGUGCCUGUACUGCACGAGACCCAGGUUUGAACCCUGGGUCAGGA